Molecule: long non-coding RNA, 283 nt
Filed under: Olea europaea (common olive)
Lineage: Eukaryota; Viridiplantae; Streptophyta; Magnoliopsida; Lamiales; Oleaceae
Description: long non-coding RNA (OEUR_LNC009530)
Source: RNAcentral
AUUUUUAUGGUUUACUUGCAAAAUAAUCAUAAUAAAGCUUCAAACCUCAAAGUGGCGUAGCAUUUGAGACCCCAACCCAUAUUCGACAAUUGUGCCAAAAGAAAAGUCCCUAGUUGUUUAAAUUUCAGAUUUUCCCAAACCACGAGGAUGGUAAAUUACAGUGAAACCAGAUUUGAAUUUUUCACACAUUAAACAAAAAUUUAAGGCUUUAAGAGCUUCUAAAAAGUGGUAGAAUCAACAGAAGCAGGUCUACAUCAUCAUUCAUGACAAAACCCAAAAUCGC